RNAcentral lists this unclassified non-coding RNA (192 nucleotides) under uncultured Diversispora. Its description in RNAcentral is "partial internal transcribed spacer 2". The record is from RNAcentral. Lineage: Eukaryota; Fungi; Glomeromycota; Glomeromycetes; Diversisporales; Diversisporaceae.
AAUCAACAUUCACGAAUUUUUUCGCGGAUUUGAGUUUUCCAGCGUUUAUAAUAAAUGCUGGUAACUUUAAAAUUAUUUAUUACUUGGUACAAGUUGAAAACGUACUAUAUGUGUAGUUCGCUGACAACUUGUCCAUCUUUAUAUAUUAUGCGCGCACUUGGUUAUUACGCUCUGUGCGAGUAUAUAUUUUUU